This 901-nucleotide ribosomal RNA is filed under the name uncultured archaeon. RNAcentral describes it as "bacterial SSU rRNA". It matches the Rfam family "Archaeal small subunit ribosomal RNA", at positions 21 to 903 of the family's 1478-position model. The record is from RNAcentral.
CCUGACUGCUAUCGGGGUGAGACUAAGCCAUGCGAGUCUAUGUCUCCGAGAUGUAGGAGACAUGGCAUACGGCUCAGUAACACGUGGCUAACCUGCCCCAUGGACGGGGACAACGUCGGGAAACUGACGCUAAUUCCCGAUAGGAAAUGAUUUCUGGAAUUGAUUCAUUUCUGAAAGCUAAGAGAGGAUUCUCUCUUAGCGCCAUGGGAUGGAGCCGCGUCCGAUCAGGUUGAUGGUGAGGUAACGGCCCACCAUGCCUAAGACCGGUACGGGCCCUGAGAGGGGGAGCCCGGAGAUGGGUCCUGAGACAAGGACCCAGGCCCUAUGGGGCGCAGCAGGCGCGAAAACUCCGCUAUGCGCGAAAGCGUGACGGGGUCACCCCGAGUGCCGAUCGCUAAGAUUGGCUUUUCCUCGGUCCAAAAGGCCGGGGGUAAUAAGGGGAGGGCAAGCUUGGUGUCAGCCGCCGCGGUAAUACCAACUCCCCGAGUGGUCAGGAUGUUUACUGGGCUUAAAGCGCCCGUAGCCGGCCUAGCAAGUUCUCUGUUAAAUCCGAUGUUCCAAGCAUUGGGCUGCAGAGAAUACUGUUGGGCUUGGGAGCGGGAGAGGUCGGCGGUACCUCUUGGGGAGGGGUAAAAUCCUUAGAUCCAGGAGGGACCAUCAGUGGCGAAGGCGGCCGGCCAGAACGCGUCCGACGGUGAGGGGCGAAAGCUGGGGGAGCGAACCGGAUUAGAUACCCGGGUAGUCCCAGUUGUAAACGAUGCGGGCUAGGCGCUGGCUCGGCUACGUGCCGAUCCAGUGUCGCAGGGAAGCCGUUAGGCCCGCCGCCUGGGGAGUACGGCCGCAAGGCUGAAACUUAAAGGAAUUGGCGGGGGAGCACCACAAGGGGUGAAGCCUGCGGUUU